This is a long non-coding RNA of Mus musculus (house mouse), 609 nucleotides long. RefSeq annotates it as predicted gene, 29896. The transcript is spliced from 3 exons. Lineage: Eukaryota; Metazoa; Chordata; Mammalia; Rodentia; Muridae. The record is from RefSeq and is a predicted model, not a curated record.
GUGAGAACAGGUGGAGAUCUACAGUUGAGCACACAGGAGCCACAUCACAGAUAAGAAAAGCUAUACCAGUAAAGUCUUGCCAACAUGGCUGCCUAAAUGUAAACUGAGCAAGGACAACACCAAUCGAUGUGCUGACACAGAAAGCUCACUGGUUCUCAGUCCUGCAGAAGUGUCUCCUGAAUCCCCUGCCAGUCCCCAAAUUGACAGAUACUAAGCCCCAACAACUGAGUAAUGGGAGAAGCGGAAGCAGAAGCGAGCAUCCUGCUCUGAAGACAGGACUCAGUCCCUGGCAGGCUUUUCAGACUUGUUUUCCUAGCUGUUAUUAAUGGUAUCAAUCCACCAAGUUUUGAAGCUUGUCUUUGCUUCUGUGAGUAUCCACCUUGAUCGCCUCUGACUUUAAUCUUUCUCUGAAUCCACAAAGUGAAGACUGCUUCCUAAUUUCACUGUCUGAGUGGUUGGGAGUUGCCAUGUCAACAUUUCUCAAGCACUAGCAUCAACUUCUGACUGUAGUAGGGAAGAAUUUGUACCCGACUCCGGUUCUGGAUAUAACAGCAGACGGUCUUUGACUUCCACUCCUCUGUUUGUUUGAAUUAAACCAUUCUGUUCACA